Molecule: RNA transcript, 360 nt
Organism: Otolemur garnettii (small-eared galago)
Lineage: Eukaryota; Metazoa; Chordata; Mammalia; Primates; Galagidae
Gene name: high mobility group nucleosome-binding domain-containing protein 3 pseudogene
Exons: 1
Source: RefSeq, a predicted model, not a curated record
AUGCCGUAGAGAAAGUCUCCAGAGAAUAUAGAGGGCAAAGAUGGUUCUAAAGUAACUAAACAGGAGCUCAGAAGACAAUCUACCAGAUUAUCAGCAAAACCUGCUCCUCCAAAAUCCGAACCUAAACCAAGAAAAACAUCUGCUAAGAAAGAACCUGGAACAAAGCUCAACAGGGAGGCUAAGGGGAAGAAGGAGGAGAAGCAGGAAGCUGGAAAGGAAGGUACUGCACCAUCUGAAAAUGGUGAGACUAAAGCUGAAGAGGCACAGAAAACCGAAUCUGUAGAUAACAAGGGAGAAUGAAUUGUCAUGAAAAAUUGGGGUUGAUUUUAUGUAUCUCUUGGGACAACUUUUAAAAGCUAU